RNAcentral lists this ribosomal RNA (301 nucleotides) under uncultured bacterium. Its description in RNAcentral is "partial 16S ribosomal RNA". It matches the Rfam family "Bacterial small subunit ribosomal RNA", at positions 512 to 809 of the family's 1533-position model. The record is from RNAcentral.
CAGUCGCCGGUAAUACAGAGGGUGCGAGCGUUAAUCGGAUUUACUGGGCGUAAAGCGUGUGUAGGUUGUUGUUCAAGUCAGUUGUGAAAUCCCUGGGCUCAACCUGGGAACUGCUUCUGAGACUGAACGACUAGAGUACGGUAGAGGGUGGUGGAAUUUCCGGUGUAGCGGUGAAAUGCGUAGAUAUCGGAAGGAACAUCAAUGGCGAAGGCAGCCACCUGGGCCUGUACUGACACUGAGACACGAAAGCGUGGGGAUCAAACAGGAUUAGAUACCCGUGUAGUCCCUGUCUCUUAUACAC